GAUUUAUUCCAGGCAAUUGAUCAGGAAGUCAAAAGUGAGAUUGAAGAAGCUGUUGAACGUUCUAAGACAGACCCAGAGAUCGCGCUUGACGAGCUUUAUAAAGAUAUCUACAGUGGUGGGAUGGAAGGCACUGGUAUACGGGGGUGUGACCCCAUGACUGAGGGUACACAUAAUUGAGGUAAAUACAGACUAAUUGGACCAUUAUAUAAAGAUAAUUUAGAGGUUGUCAGUACUAACAAGUAUGCAUGCCUAUAGUGUGAUUGUAUACAAUGUGAUGAUAACAUAGCUAUAUUUAUAUCUGUUCUGUAUUUUGUCAGAAUAUUGCUUGCAAUAAAGCUGCUCAGGCUGAUACGAAGGCCGGUUAGCGAACUUUCUAAAGUUGACCAUUGAAUAGCAUAACCAUAGUCUGUCAAGAUAUGAUGGUCUGGAAGCCUGGCAAACUUCAAAACUACAAAAUAGAAGAUGGUGAACUGUAUCUCACCGUGCACAAAUCCUUUGUCUCAACUUUAUUAAAUAUUAGAAUGUUAGGGUUUGUAAUCCAAGUGAGAAUAUAUACAUUUUAAGACCUGACCAGGAACGACUGCGAAAAUGCAGCACAAGGUCCUCUGGUAGGAAUUGAACCUACGGCCCUGCGAUUCCGGUGCAGCGCUCUAACCACAGACAUCUUAUAUACACUAGAUAGUGCAUCUAAAUAUUCUGUAAUUCAAAAAUUGAAGCUGUGAUUGCAGUCUCAGGUCGUUCCCAUGAAAUGAGGAGAUUUGUAUGUUUUUUAUUUCUUAAACAGGGAACUUAAACAUUAAGUUAACCCUAUUCCAAAUACGUUUUUAAAGUAUUCAAAUGAUGAAAGUAAUUGUUGUUUUUAAGCGUUUAUUAGCAAGUGGGAACGACCAACAUGGCCGCCAUCUAUUCAAAUGGGGGUAACCGCUGGAAUAUUCUUGGCUUCAAUUUUAUUAAAAGAGAUGCGCUAUCUAGUGUAUAUAACAUAUCUAUGGCUCUAACCAACUG
Molecule: non-coding RNA, 1005 nt
Organism: Paramuricea clavata
Lineage: Eukaryota; Metazoa; Cnidaria; Anthozoa; Malacalcyonacea; Plexauridae
Source: the annotation of a GenBank genome assembly